UAGCGAAGGCAGCUUACCAGGCUAUAUCUGACGCUGAAUCACGAGAGCGUGGGUAUCGAACAGGAUUAGAUACCCUGGUAGUCCACGCCGUAAACGAUGCUCACCGGCUCUAUGCGAUAAGACGGUAUGGGGCUAAUAGAAAUAAUUAAGUGAGCCACCUGGGGAGUACGUCGGCAACGAUGAAACUCAAAGGAAUUGACGGGGGCCCGCACAAGCGGAGGAACAUGUGGUUUAAUUCGAUGAUACGCGAGGAACCUUACCCGGGUUUAAAUGUAUGUUGCAUUAUGUAGAAAUACGUAUUUUCUUCGGAACUACAUACAAGGUGCUGCAUGGUUGUCGUCAGCUCGUGCCGUGAGGUGUCGGGUUAGGUCCCAUAACGAGCGCAACCCUUAUGAUUAGUUGCUAACGGAUAAAGCCGAGCACUCUAUUCACACUGCCACCGUAAGGUGCGAGGAAGGAGGGGAUGAUGUCAAAUCAGCACGGCCCUUAUAUCCGGGGCUACACACGUGUUACAAUGGUCGGUACAGAGGGUUGCAUUUACGUGAGUAACAGCUAAUCCCUAAAAUCGGUCUCAGUUCGGAUUGGAGUCUGCAACUCGACUCCAUGAAGUUGGAUUCACUAGUAAUCGCACAUCAGCCAUGGUGCGGUGAAUACGUUCCCGGGCCUUGUACACACCGCCCGUCAAGCCAUGGGAGCUGAGGGUGCCUGAAGUUCGUAACCGCGAGGAGCGACCUAGGGCAAACUUGGUAACUGGGGCUAAGUCGUAACAAGGUAG
Molecule: ribosomal RNA, 775 nt
Filed under: uncultured Odoribacter sp.
Lineage: Bacteria; Pseudomonadati; Bacteroidota; Bacteroidia; Bacteroidales; Odoribacteraceae
Description: bacterial SSU rRNA
Rfam family: Bacterial small subunit ribosomal RNA
Source: RNAcentral